UACAGAGGGGGCAAGCGUUAUUCGGAAUUAUUGGGCGUAAAGAGCUCGUAGGCGGCUUGUUGCGUCGUCCGUGAAAACUUGUGGCUUAACCACAGGCUGGCGGUCGAUACGGGCAGGCUAGAGUUCGGUAGGGGAGAUCGGAAUUCCUGGUGUAGCGGUGAAAUGCGCAGAUAUCAGGAGGAACACCGGUGGCGAAGGCGGAUCUCUGGGCCGAUACUGACGCUGAGGAGCGAAAGCGUGGGGAGCGAACAGG
This 253-nucleotide ribosomal RNA is filed under the name uncultured bacterium. RNAcentral's name for it is "partial 16S ribosomal RNA". It matches the Rfam family "Bacterial small subunit ribosomal RNA", at positions 524 to 776 of the family's 1533-position model. The record is from RNAcentral.